CCGGCCCUCCAGGCUGCAGGCGGAGCCCAGGUUCCCUGGCUAGAAGCCCGCGGUGGACUUUUAAAGCCGCCCGACAAUACAGAUGUCUGAGAGAUACAGAAACUAUCAAUGGCUUGCCUGUUUGACAUCAUACAGUCCACAACUUAAGAAAGAAAAUAAUGCAGAGUGAAGAAAUUGUUAUUUCACAGAGAUAAAAACAAUGCUAUGAAUAAUAAGAGCAUGAUUCCAUGGAAGCACAGCAGAGUCGUCAAUAAUUAGUCCUGGAAUACAAUCAAAACUAGAUAACACUAUACUUUGCAGGAACUAGGUUUUUUUUGAAGACUGAAGGUUCUUUUUUUAAAAAAAACUUUGGAUGUGUGUGUGAAUGACCAGUUCAGGGCACAAGGAAAGCGAGCGGCCCAGUUUCCCCCCAACAGCACUUGUUAUAGAUCCUUAAAAACAUUUGAGAGGCACUUAACAGCAUGUAUCUGUCCUUUAGUUUCAAAUCAAUUGGAUCAAUGUGGCGAGCAUCAUGAGGCCAUAUGGAUUUGUGACAUACACCCAUAACCCUUGCAAACCAGAAAUCAAUUAAUGACCAUCUUCUGUCCAUAAAGUUUCCUUCUUUGGAGACAGAUAACACGUUGUGGAUGUUCUCCAGAUUCAUAGAAUCAUGGAAUUGUAGAUAUUUGCUUUUUGUCAGCAGAGCACAACAUUCAAAAUAGAGAUAAUGAAAUAAAUUAUGGUAAAUUGUCUAUAUUACAGGUGGGCAACCUGUGACCCAGGAAACACAGAUUCCUCCUAUUAUUAUUAUUAUUAUUAUUAUUAUUAUCCUUGGUUCCUCCAAGCAGUUCAAGUUGGUCACAUGAUUCUCCCCACUCUCAAUUUUAUCCUCACACCACCUCCUCAAGGUGGGCUUGAUUGAGAGGCAGCAACUGACCCAAGGUCACCAUUGACUGAAUGAGGAUUUGAACCCUAGGGCCGUAUCCAGUAUUAGUCCUACUCAGAGUAAAGGUAAAGGGACCCCUGACCAUUAGGUCCAGUCAUGGCCGACUCGGGUUGUGACGCUCAUCUCGCUUUAUUGGCCGAGGGAGCCGGCGUACAGGUUCCGGGUCAUGUGGCCAGCACGACUAAGCCGUUUCUGGCGAACCAGAGCAGCGCACGGAAACGCCGCUUACCUUCCCACCGGAGCGGUACCUAUUUAUCUACUUGUACUUUGACGUGCUUUCAAACUGCUAGGUUGGCAGGAGCUGGGACCGAGCAAUGGGAGCUCAGCCCGUCGCAGGGAUUCGAACCGCCAACCUUCUGAUCGGCAAGUCCUAGGCUCUGUGGUUUAACCCACAGCGCCACCCACGUCCCCCCUACUCAGAGUAGGCUUAUUGAAAUUAGUGGGCAUGACUAUCUCAAUUCAUGUAUUGUUUCAGGAAGUGUGAUUUAGGUAUGUUCACCUUUAAAUAAGAACUGAAUUAAAUUUCUUCCCUAAUAGAGGACACUCUCAACUCCUGCUGUAAACUAAAAAAAGGGAGUAGUAAUAUGAUGGAUAUGCUGUCUCCUGAUUUCAGCCACAAAUCCACAGACACACCUUGGUGGAUCACCUGAAUAAAACUAAUGAAUCAGAUUCCUGGAAAUAUGCUAAUAUUACAUUGAUACCAAAGCAAGAUCAAGAUCCAACUCAGGUUGGACUAUAGACCCAUUUCCUUGAUCAACUGUGACUACAAACUGUAGUAAUAUUAGCUAGGAGACAAAUUAGUUUUAAAAGAUUAGAUGCAUGAAGAUAAAGCUGGAUUUCUCCCAACAAGAGCAAUAAAGGACAAUGUUAGAACUAUAUUAGAUACUGUAGAAUAUUUUGAAAAGAGAAAUGAUAAGCAAUUAGAUGCAGAGAAGAUGUUCAAUAAUGUUUUUGUUUUUUUUAGUUUUAUGGGGAAAAUAUUGAAUAUAAUGGGCUGGGGGGAGAAAAUUGUGAGAGGGAUAAAGGUAAUAUAUACAGAACAAAUUGCAAGUAUAAUAGUGAAUGGAGUGGUAACAGAAAAGUACACCAUUACAAAGGGCACGAGACAAGGUUGCCCACUAUCACCAUUAUUGUUUAUCUUGAUAGUAGAAGUGCAUACAGGAGUGCCUGGCAUGCUCUAGUCCAUGGGGUCACGAAGAGUCGGACACGACUAAACAACAAGAAGUGUUAUGCAGGGAAUUAAGGGGAAAUAGUGAAAUACAAGGUAUACAAGACUGUUGGAUCUAGAAGGAUAUGGGAACAAUUUGGGUGGCAUGCUUACCUAUGGUACGACAAGGUAAAAGGAAAUAGGGAUUUUUUGAGUCAUUGUAUAAGGAGAAGCUUAUAUUGAGUUUGGCCUAGAUACAGAGAUUUAUUUGAAAGGAAAACCCCUUUAUGGUUAUCACCAAUAGUAGCUGGUGCAUCAAAGAAAUUAAAUAUGAUGGAGAAGUGGGGUAAAUAUAGAGAUAUAGUGUGGAAAUCUCUGUAAAUUGAAAAAGAAUAUGAAGACACAAGAGAAUGGAGAUCAAAUUGGUUAUAAUAACAUCAAAUUAAUGAAUAUUUUAAAAAAGAUUUAGUAAAAGGUUUUACGGACCAAAUAUCAGAUUUUUAAAAGAUUCUGCUUGAAGGAAGAAAAAAACUGAUUUCAAAAAUGUUUAAACUAUUAUUAGAAUGGGAGACGAAAGUUGAAAUGGUGAAAUAGGUAAUGAUAAAAUCGGCCAAAGAUUUAGGACCUAAUAUAGAAAUAAACACUUGAGGAAAGUUGUGGACAGUAGAUAUGAACUUCACUGCUUGCUAUGAUUUAAAAGAGAAUUAUAUGAAAAUGAUGUAUAGAUGGUAUUUAACACCAGAUAAAUUAUCUAAAAUGUAUAAGAAGGUCUCCAAUAACUGCUGGAAGUGUAAGCAAGCAGGUGCUCCUUUUUCAUAUAUGGUGGAUUUCCAAAAAAGGGUAUUUUGGAAUAAGAUAUACAAUGAGAUAAAAAAGAUGUUUAAAGUGAGUUUACCAAAAAACACAACCCAAAAACCCCCUGAAGCUUUCCUGCUAGGGAUUAUGGGGACAGAAAUUUUAAAAAAAAGAAUGGUUAAUUUGUUUAUGUAUGUAACUAUAGCAGCUAGGCUUCAUUAUGCUCAGAAAUGGAAAGAUGAAGAAGUAGCUGCUAAAGAAGGAUGGAUAAGAUUCAGACUGUGCUGAAUCAGCAAAGCUAACAGCUAUACUAAUCAUCUAAUGAUGAUUACCUUUUUGAAGAAUGGAAGCCCUUUUCAGAUUAUUUGAAGAAAUAUUACAACAUAAAGAAUCCACAACCAGGUUUUGAGCUAUGAGCAACAGAAAAAAUUAGGGACUAUUGUGUUAUGAUUAUCAUUAAAAAGGAAUGAAGACGGUGCAGCAAAACAGGAACAAGGAAAACAUCACGGAAGAUGGGUUGGGAAGUGAGAAAGGAAAUCUCUAUUUAAAAUGUAUUGGAAUUUUAUCUUUAAAAUUUUCAGAAAUUUAAUAAAAAUGUUUUUAAAAAUGAAA
Molecule: long non-coding RNA, 3479 nt
Organism: Podarcis raffonei (Aeolian wall lizard)
Lineage: Eukaryota; Metazoa; Chordata; Lepidosauria; Squamata; Lacertidae
Exons: 2
Source: RefSeq, a predicted model, not a curated record